RNAcentral lists this unclassified non-coding RNA (338 nucleotides) under soil metagenome. RNAcentral's name for it is "partial contains 5.8S ribosomal RNA, internal transcribed spacer 2, and large subunit ribosomal RNA". The stretch from base 1 to 120 matches the Rfam family "5.8S ribosomal RNA", at positions 35 to 154 of the family's 154-position model. The record is from RNAcentral.
GAUGAAGAACGCAGCGAAAUGCGAUAAGUAAUGUGAAUUGCAGAAUUCAGUGAAUCAUCGAAUCUUUGAACGCACAUUGCGCCCUCCGGUAUUCCGGAGGGCAUGCCUGUUCGAGCGUCAUUUCGACCCUCAAGCAUUGCUUGGUGUUGGGGCACCGCCUGUAAAAGGGCGGGCCCUGAAAUCUAGUGGCGAGCUCGCCAGGACCCCGAGCGUAGUAAUUAUAUUUCGUUCUGGAAGGCCCUGGCGGUGCCCUGCCGUUAAACCCCCAACUUCUGAAAAUUUGACCUCGGAUCAGGUAGGAAUACCCGCUGAACUUAAGCAUAUCAAUAAGCGGAGGA